RNAcentral lists this ribosomal RNA (517 nucleotides) under Escherichia coli. RNAcentral describes it as "partial 23S ribosomal RNA". It matches the Rfam family "Bacterial large subunit ribosomal RNA", at positions 1 to 558 of the family's 2925-position model. The record is from RNAcentral. Lineage: Bacteria; Pseudomonadati; Pseudomonadota; Gammaproteobacteria; Enterobacterales; Enterobacteriaceae.
GUUAAGCGACUAAGCGUACACGGUGGAUGCCCUGGCAGUCAGAGGCGAUGAAGGACGUGCUAAUCUGCGAUAAGCGUCGGUAAGGUGAUAUGAACCGUUAUAACCGGCGAUUUCCGAAUGGGGAAACCCAGUGUGUUUCGACACACUAUCAUUAACUGAAUCCAUAGGUUAAUGAGGCGAACCGGGGGAACUGAAACAUCUAAGUACCCCGAGGAAAAGAAAUCAACCGAGAUUCCCCCAGUAGCGGCGAGCGAACGGGGAGCAGCCCAGAGCCUGAAUCAGUGUGUGUGUUAGUGGAAGCGUCUGGAAAGGCGCGCGAUACAGGGUGACAGCCCCGUACACAAAAAUGCACAUGCUGUGAGCUCGAUGAGUAGGGCGGGACACGUGGUAUCCUGUCUGAAUAUGGGGGGACCAUCCUCCAAGGCUAAAUACUCCUGACUGACCGAUAGUGAACCAGUACCGUGAGGGAAAGGCGAAAAGAACCCCGGCGAGGGGAGUGAAAAAGAACCUGAAACCG